Alligator mississippiensis (American alligator) is the source of this 1322-nucleotide long non-coding RNA. RefSeq lists it as uncharacterized. Lineage: Eukaryota; Metazoa; Chordata; Crocodylia; Alligatoridae. The transcript is spliced from 4 exons. The record is from RefSeq and is a predicted model, not a curated record.
AUAAAGGAGGGGGAAAUGCAUAGCAGGAAGCUGGUUGGGGCAUCUGUAGGAACUGUUACUAUAUAAGUGAUAACCCAGUCUGCAUGAUCCUGAAACUUUAUACAGGCAAUCACGAGGGUACUAUCAUUGUGUUCAGACAAUGGAAGACUGCUAUCAAAGCAAAAAAUCUGAAGACUCUUAUCCAUGUAGACUUUUAAAACUUCACUUGCUAUUGAAACAGAGUUGGAGGCUUGUUUGCCUAUCUUCUUCCAAAAAAGAUACCAAGACUUAUUCCAAAGCAGUCAAUGGCCUAGUGGUUAAUGUACUCAUCUGUGAGGAAGGAAACCCAGGCCCUGUCCUGAAUCAAGGUGUCUCUCUUCUCUUAAGCAAACUCAUACUGAAAGAUGGAGAGUAGUGAAAUGAAGCAGUUACAUUCAAAUUACCAAAACCAUUGAAUGCCUUGUGAAUUUGGAGACAAAAGAGCAUACUUUCCUUCAGAGCUAAUAAAAAAUGGUAUUUUGCGGAAAAUUAAAAAAACCUUUUGUUUUUGUUUCAUGCAAAAAAUGUUUUCUUUAUACAAAAUAUUUGCUGUUCUUUUAUAUCUUCAGUUUACUGUUUCCAUUUUUAAUAUAUAACCUGGAAAAUCUCAAGUGAGACUUCUUUUUAGCAUGACUUCUUAUUUUAGGAACAGAAUGUCUAUUCUGUAUUUAAAACAAUUUCAGUGGAAGAUUUUUGACCAUAUCUAAUUUCACUCUUUUGAAUAACAGAAAAGUAAAAGUUGCAGAGUAGAAAGGGUAUGUCAGUCACAUAAAUUUCCUGCUGUUGUAAAUUAAGGAUUAAUUAUGAAAAGCACAUAGACUUCAGUUCUGCAACUGACAAAAAUAAUUUUGCUCAACCUCCUUCUAACCCCUAACACUCACCUCACAGAUUUGCAGCCUUUGAAGUAUAACAAGUUGUGCUGGUUGGAAUUUUUUUUUUUAAUAUUAAUAAUAAUCUUUUGGUCUUGACAUUUUUAAAACAAAUAUUUUUUUCAAAAUUUGUCUUCACAAUUUCAAAAUAUUUUUGAAUAUUCAACACAAAAUUUUAGUUCAACAUUUACUUAAAUUUUAAUAUUUAAACAUUUUUCAUACUCUAAAAGCUAUCACAAAUAAAAUGUUUUGUUUUGUAUCAAGCAUUCUGCCUAAAACACAAAAAUGUUCAUAUGCAUGCAGAAGUCACUCUCAAAAAGGUGUAUGCUAGCAAUUUCUGAGGAAUUCUAGCCAGUCAUGACUAGACAUUACAGUAUAUGAUGUACCAGAGUUUGAAACUGUUGACUCUUUAGUAUGUUGUGUCAAAUAAAAAUC